AUCUAACAUCAUCAAAGCCUGCAAAAAUGCAAAACAAGCAUAUGACCAGAUGAUAAAAUCCCAGAUAACCAUUAUACGUCUAUUCUAAACUGGAAAACCAGUUGCACACAAGCUAAAAUAUGCCAUAGUGCUCUAGGAACACAUGCUCAGGGAUAAGUGACAUAAAAUAUGGAUGGCAAGAAGCACUUGAAGAUGCGAUGAUUGAGUAAUUAAAUGCAUGUUAGGAAAAUUCAUACUGCUUAAAAAUUUAACAUUUUAAAUUAUAUGGAAAAUGACAAAAGACAAUAAAGAAAUGAGAGGCUUUU
Molecule: unclassified non-coding RNA, 305 nt
Filed under: Hevea brasiliensis (rubber tree)
Lineage: Eukaryota; Viridiplantae; Streptophyta; Magnoliopsida; Malpighiales; Euphorbiaceae
Source: RNAcentral